Molecule: ribosomal RNA, 253 nt
Filed under: uncultured bacterium
Lineage: Bacteria
Description: partial 16S ribosomal RNA
Rfam family: Bacterial small subunit ribosomal RNA
Source: RNAcentral
UACGUAGGGUGCGAGCGUUAAUCGGAAUCACUGGGCGUAAAGGGCGCGUAGGUGGCGAUCCAAGUCCAUGGUGAAAGCUCGAUGCUCAACAUCGAGUCGGCCACGGAUACUGGGUUGCUUGAGCACUGUAGGGGCAGAUGGAAUUCCGGGUGUAGCGGUGGAAUGCGUAGAGAUCCGGAAGAACACCGGUGGCGAAGGCGGUCUGCUGGGCAGUUGCUGACACUGAGGCGCGACAGCGUGGGGAGCGAACAGG